This 496-nucleotide ribosomal RNA is filed under the name uncultured bacterium. RNAcentral describes it as "partial 16S ribosomal RNA". It matches the Rfam family "Bacterial small subunit ribosomal RNA", at positions 28 to 507 of the family's 1533-position model. The record is from RNAcentral.
GACGAACGCUGGCGGCGUGCCUAAUACAUGCAAGUUGAGCGCUGAAGGUUGGUACUUGUACCAACUGGAUGAGCAGCGAACGGGUGAGUAACGCGUGGGGAAUCUGCCUUUGAGCGGGGGACAACAUUUGGAAACGAAUGCUAAUACCGCAUAAAAACUUUAAACACAAGUUUAAGGUUUAAAAGUGCCAUUGCACUACUUAAAAAGCGACCCGCGUUGUAUUUAGUAGGUGGGGUGGUAAAGGACCACCGAGGCGAUGAUUCAUAGCCGACCUGAGAGGGUGAUCGGCCACAUUGGGACUGAGACACGGCCCAAACUCCUACGGGAGGCAGCAGUAGGGAAUCUUCGGCAAUGGACGAAAGUCUGACCGAGCAACGCCGCGGGAGGGAAGAAGGUUUUCGGAUCGUAAAACUCUGUUGGUAGAGAAGAACGUUGGUGAGAGUGGAAAGCUCAUCAAGUGACGGUAACUACCCAGAAAGGGACGGCUAACUACGUG